This 454-nucleotide ribosomal RNA is filed under the name uncultured organism. RNAcentral's name for it is "partial 16S ribosomal RNA". It matches the Rfam family "Bacterial small subunit ribosomal RNA", at positions 330 to 800 of the family's 1533-position model. The record is from RNAcentral.
CGUACACUCCUGCGGGAGGCAGCAGUGGGGAAUAUUGGACAAUGGGCGCAAGCCUGAUCCAGCCAUGCCGCGUGAGUGAUGAAGGCCCUAGGGUUGUAAAGCUCUUUCACCGGUGAAGAUAAUGACGGUAACCGGAGAAGAAGCCCCGGCUAACUUCGUGCCAGCAGCCGCGGUAAUACGAAGGGGGCUAGCGUUGUUCGGAUUUACUGGGCGUAAAGCGCACGUAGGCGCACUAUUAAGUCAGGGGUGAAAUCCCGGGGCUCAACCCCGGAACUGCCUUUGAUACUGGUAGUCUUGAGUUCGAGAGAGGUGAGUGGAAUUCCGAGUGUAGAGGUGAAAUUCGUAGAUAUUCGGAGGAACACCAGUGGCGAAGGCGGCUCACUGGCUCGAUACUGACGCUGAGGUGCGAAAGCGUGGGGAGCAAACAGGAUUAGAUACCCGUGUAGUCCCAUGA